RNAcentral lists this long non-coding RNA (623 nucleotides) under Homo sapiens (human). RNAcentral's name for it is "non-protein coding lnc-DDX60L-3:4". Lineage: Eukaryota; Metazoa; Chordata; Mammalia; Primates; Hominidae. The record is from RNAcentral.
GCUCAGAGCGCCCAGUCCGACGCCAGGCUCUGCGCUCGGUCUCCUCUGCUCCACCUCCUCCCCGCGGGGCGUGCAGCUCCGAAGCUCUUUGGACCUAGCAGGUUCGGCGGCCGGGAGGUGCCAUUCACAUCAAAUGUAGCCAUUUUAGAGGUGUCAAAAUAAAUCAGCCAUAUUUAAUAAAUUCCAGCUCUACUCUUCUACCCUGUAGCCCAAGAAGCAGCAACGAUGGGGUCAAAGGAUCAUGCAGUAUUUUUCAGGGAAAUGACACAGUUAAUUUUGAAUGAAAUGCCAAAAGCUGGGUAUUCCAGCAUAUUAAAUGAUUUUGUGGAAUCUAAUUUUUUUGUGAUUGAUGGAGAUUCCUUGCUUGUCACAUGCCUGGGUGUAAAAUCAUUCAAGUGGGGACAGAAUCUCCACUUUUUCUAUCUGGUUGAAUGCUAUCUUGUGGAUCUUCUGAGUAACGGAGGACAAUUCACCAUAGUUUUCUUUAAGAUGGAGUUUCGCUCUUUUUGCACAGGCUGAAGUGCAAUGCCGUGAUCUCGGCUCACUGCAACCUCCACCUCCUAGGUUCAAGUGAUUCUACUCUCUCAGCCUCCCAAGUAGCUGGGAUUACAGGCGCGUGCCAC